GAUGAACGCUGGCGGCGUGCCUAACACAUGCAAGUCGAACGAAGCACUUUAGCUUGAUUCUUCGGAUGAAGGCUAUUGUGACUGAGUGGCGGAGGGGUGGGUAACGCGUGGGUAACCUGCCUCAUACAGGGGGAUAACAGUUAGAAAUGACUGCUAAUACCGCAUAAGACCACGGAGUCGCAUGGCUCAGUGGGAAAAACUCCGGUGGUAUGAGAUGGACCCGCGCCUGAUUAGGUAGUUGGUGGGGUAACGGCGUACCAAGCCGACGAUCAGUAGCCGACCUGAGAGGGUGACCGGCCGCAUUGGGACUGAGACACGGCCCAAACUCCUACGGGAGGCAGCAGUGGGGAAUAUUGCACAAUGGGGGAAACCCUGAUGCAGCGACGCCGCGUGAGCGAAGAAGUAUUUCGGUAUGUAAAGCUCUAUCAGCAGGGAAGAAAAUGACGGUACCUGGCUAAGAAGCACCGGCUAAAUACGUGCCAGCAGCCGCUGUAA
Molecule: ribosomal RNA, 495 nt
Filed under: uncultured bacterium
Lineage: Bacteria
Description: partial 16S ribosomal RNA
Rfam family: Bacterial small subunit ribosomal RNA
Source: RNAcentral